RNAcentral lists this long non-coding RNA (7352 nucleotides) under Eutrema salsugineum. RNAcentral's name for it is "long non-coding RNA (ESAL_LNC000264)". Lineage: Eukaryota; Viridiplantae; Streptophyta; Magnoliopsida; Brassicales; Brassicaceae. The record is from RNAcentral.
CAGGGAAGACUUGUUGAAAAGGAUUUUGAUGUGCGCAGAACAGCUGGUGACUCUACUGUUCGAGCUGUUCAGAGAGAAUAUAAAACAAACGUAUCAGAAAAUUACCUCGAAAUUCAUCUUUUCUGGGCUGGAAAAGGAACAUGUUGUAUUCCUAUCCAAGGGGCUUAUGGGCCAUUGAUAUCGGCCGUUAGUGCAAAACCAGGUAAUGGCAAAAAUCCUUUUUUUCCCCUGAAUUUCACUCUCUUGAUGCUAGUAAAUACCUAAGUGUUACAUAAUGCUAUUCAGAUUUUACACCAACUGUGGGCAAUAAGCCACCAUCAAAGGAAAAGAACAGGACUGGUACUAUUGUGGGUGUCAUUGUUGGCGUAGUAGGACUUUUGAGCAUCUCGGCAUGUGUGGUUAUCUUCAUCAUCCGAAAAAGAAGAAAGCGGUACACAGAUGAUGAAGGUAUAGAUCUAAUAAGCUUACAAAUAUGCCUUUGAAUUAAAAUUAAACCUGAAUAUUAUCUCUCAAAUUGGUUCUUUUUUGUUGCAGAGAUACUUAGUAUGGACGUAAAGCCUUACACUUUCACUUACUCUGAACUUAAAAGUGCAACUCAAGAUUUUGAUCCCUCAAACAAGCUUGGAGAAGGAGGAUUUGGGCCUGUUUACAAGGUAACUCCCUUACCAAAAAAAAAGAAGAUAAAUAGAAACCAGAGUAUAUGUAAUACGUUUUGUUUAUGAUUAAUACAUUGAAACAGGGAACUCCUUUACUAAAAAAAGUACUUAGAAACCAGAGUAUAAGUUAUACGUUUUGUUUCGCAUAACAGGGUAAACUCAGUGAUGGAAGAGAAGUGGCGGUGAAGCAGUUGUCGGUUGGAUCCCGGCAAGGGAAGGGGCAAUUUGUUGCAGAAAUAGUAGCGAUUUCUGCAGUUCAGCAUCGCAACUUAGUAAAACUCUACGGGUGCUGCUAUGAAGGAGAUCAUCGUUUGCUUGUAUAUGAAUACCUUCCUAACGGAAGUCUUGAUCAGGCUCUAUUUGGUACGCUUAAAAACAUGAUUUAUUGACCCAUGUUUCUGUCAAGCUAAAAGCACACAUUAUCUACUUGCCAUUGAUUUGGAUAUUGCAGGGAAUAAGACGUUACAUCUUGAUUGGUCAACCCGUUAUGAGAUAUGCCUGGGAGUAGCUAGAGGUCUAGUUUAUCUCCACGAGGAGGCGAGGCUUCGCAUAGUACAUAGGGAUGUGAAGGCCAGCAACAUUUUGCUUGACUCUAAACUUGUCCCAAAAGUUUCUGAUUUUGGACUCGCAAAACUAUACGAUGACAAGAAAACCCAUAUAAGUACCCGAGUUGCAGGGACGAUGUAUGUAAACCCUAAACCUGACAACUUGGGAUGUACGUUUUGUUUGCAACACAACUAUGGAUUUAUAACACAAUUUUUCGUGCGAUUGUUUGUACCAAUGCAGUGGAUAUCUUGCGCCAGAGUAUGCCAUGCGUGGACAUCUAACAGAGAAAACUGAUGUGUAUGCCUUUGGUGUCGUAGUUCUUGAGCUAGUGAGUGGUAGACCAAACUCUGAUGAGAACUUGGAGGAUGAAAAAAGAUAUCUUCUUGAAUGGGUACGUCCUUGCUUGUUAUAUAAUUGAUUGUAAAUGAGGGAAGUUUGAGAUAGUAGUGAAUCUUCUUGAAUGGGUACAAAAACUGAUAAUCCUUGUGUUCUUUUGCGUUUGUGUUUUUUCUUAUUAUAGGCAUGGAAUCUACACGAGAAAAGUCGUGAAGUUGAACUUAUUGAUCAUGAGCUGACAGAAUUCAACAUGGAACAAGUUAAACGCAUGAUAGGCAUCGCUCUGCUAUGCACGCAGACACAUCAUGCCUUGAGACCAGCAAUGUCAAGAGUGGUGGCCAUGCUUUCAGGAGACGUUGAGGUCAGUGAUGUCACCUCUAAGCCUGGCUACCUUACCGACUGGAGAUUUGAUGACACCACAAACUCAUCUCUCAGCGGCUUUCAAACCAAAGACGACACAGGCGCAUCAGAAUCUUUCUCCACGAGCUUUACGAGGCCUGGCUCCGAGAUAUCACCCAAAAACACCGACUCUAAGCCAAUGCUUGGAGUCAAGAUCAAUGAGGGAAGAUGACAAAGACCCUUGCCUGUAUCAUCAACUAUUUGUGUACAUGAUGAUCAAUAUUUUCUUCUUUGAUUGGAGAAACAGAUUCUUAUUUUGAUUCCUUAAUAUUUAAGCUCUUCAUAUUCCUCUAAUCUGUUGAGGGAAAUUUGUAGCCGGUGAAGUUGAAGAGAUAAUGAUACUUGCUAUGAAACCAAAAAGUAGAGAGCGCAUAUUUGAUCGAAGUUGUAUUGUGUUCCCAAAUUGCAUAGACAAACUCAACGGUGUUCCCAACCCAUCUAUCCUGUUUAGAUACCAAAUUCGUAAAGAUUCAUUUAGUUUUAGGUUGCCCAAAUUUGUAAAGGUUGCCCGUUUUAGAUCCGCCAGAAUUACAUUGACUCAUAUAGACCCAUUUAAGCUAGGUCUAUUUUGCAUUGAAAACAAAUUUAAUUAUCAUAAUACUUAAAUCAAAUUAAAUUGUUUUGAUUUGCGAGAAGAGAAAAACAAAGCCAAUAAUUAUCAUAAGUCUUCCUCAUUAUUGCUCCAUGGAGCUAAGUGGAAGAAAUAGGUGAUGGUGAUCGGUCAUGAUAUCCAUAGCGUUUGUCUGUUUGCAAUUUGCAAUUUACUGACAUUUCAACUCAAAAGACCAGUUGACUGAGAAAGAUUCAAGAGUCAACUGCCCAUAUCACACGCUCUUUCUAGCUUUCACUAGUAACUGUUUAGUUAGGGAUAUUAUUGGCUUUAACUUUGGUAAUAAGAAGUGUGUGUAAUAAUAGUCAAGAUCACUCAAGACAAAAGUAUGUCUAACAAAUAGACUUAUUUCCAUAUUUUUGCAAUCAUAGUUAACUAUUUGUCUAAAUAAAUAAAGCCCACAUAAUAAUUAUUUUGGCACAUAAGACCUACUAAAAAUACAUUUAAAAAAAAAAAUCAUUACUUCCACUAACUUUAGAAAUGAUAUAAGUGGAAACUGAAAUCUAUAACCACUAAACAUGGGUUAGUGAGAACUUGGAAGAGGAGAGAAAAGAAAGAGUUGUGAAGUCUUUACUUGCAAAGAAAGAAGCUUUGCAGUUGCAGCAGUCACACAUCUUGUCCUCUUUUAAACCCAAAAAAAAAAGGUCUUGUCCUCUUGAUAAAUAUCAUAAGCAUGGAAAGACCCACGAAAUUAUUAAGGAAACAAAGAGUAGCCGUUAGAAUUUGUAUGGUAAUGUUAGUCUUUAGAUGAAAAUAUUAAGGUUAAAAAAAAAAAAAUAUUAAGGUUGAAAUUAAUAGAGAUUAGUGUGACCAGUGGCUUCAAGCGUUGAUAAUGUAGAGUGCCAAACACUGAAACAGGGUGGUCCACCGGUCAUAAUCAUGGUUUUGGUUGGUAUGCAUACAACACAAGUCAAUGAAGACUUUGGGUGGAAAUGAGAAUUUAUAGGGCACACAACACACACAUCACAGCACAAGCUUAAUUUUAGUGUACUCACUAGUAGUAGAGUGUAUAAGACACACUGACACACACACACACACUAUUGUUGUAAUUUGUGUUUCAGGGCCAAACAAAAAGAAAAAAGAGAGAGAGAGAGAGAGAGAGAGAGAGAGAGAGAGAGAGAGAGAGAGAGAGAGAGAGAGAGAGAGAGAGAGAGAGAGAGAGAGAUUGAACUAAUCACCGUCGACGACGAUGCCGACGUGGCUGCUCCUCACCUUCUGGUACCUCUUGUGUAUCUCCGGUUCGGUUCACCUGGUUAGAGCUCAAAAACGAACCGAUCCCGACGAAGGUCUGUAUAUGAAACACUUGUUGAAUGAAUUAGUUAAGCUUUUUGGUUGAGAAACUGACGACUUGUAUACAUAUAAACAAACACAGCGAGAGCUUUGAACUCCAUCUUCGCGACUUGGAAGAUCCAGGUGACGAAGGAAUGGAACAUAAGCGGAGAACUUUGCUCCGGCGUCGCCAUAGAAGAAGGCAUCACCAUAGACAGCAAAGCCUACAACCCUCUGAUCAAAUGCGGAUGCGAUUUCUCCAACUCCACAAUAUGCCGCAUCACCGCACUGUAAACACCUCUUUUGGACUUUUUGUUGAGUGUUGAUCACGCUUUCUCGAUCCAACUGAUGCUGUUGUUGUUGUUUUUUUUUUUUUUUUUUUUUGACUUCACAGCAAGGUUUACGCCAUGGAUGUUGUAGGACCUAUACCUCCACAGCUCUGGACUUUGAAAUUCCUCACAAAUCUGUAUGAACCUCUUUCUUUCUUCUUCUUUCUUCACAAUUAAGCAAUACAAAAUACAUAUAUAAUUGGAGCUAGCUAGCUCAACAAAAAGACACAUAUAUAUAUAUUUCAGGAACCUGGGUCAAAAUUAUCUUACAGGGUCCCUUUCUCCUGCAAUUGGGAAUUUGACUCAAAUGGAAUGGAUGUAAGGUGCUGUGUGAUUGAUACCUUUUAUUUUUGUUCUCUCUUCAAUUUCUUGUCUCACACGCUCCAACUGUGGCUAGGACUUUUGGGAUCAAUGCCUUGUCUGGCCCUCUUCCCAAGGAAAUUGGUUUGCUUACUGAGUUAAAAUUACUGUAAGCUUUCUUCAUUAAUGUCUAAAUAUGUAUAUAUGAUCAAAUUCGAUGAAUUUUGAUGGCGCCUUAUACCUAUCUCUAUACAUAUAUAUUGUGUUUCUGCAUGCAGUGGAAUUGGCUCAAAUAACUUUUCUGGUUCUAUACCAACUGAGAUUGGUAACUGUAAGAAACUACAACAAAUGUGAGUGUGUGUAUCUCCUGCUUUAUAUAUAUAUAUAUAACAAUAGCAAGAGCUAGUGUUCACCCACCACAAAAAUUAAUUUAAGUAAUUAUGAUCGUUUUGCAGGUACAUAGAUAGUUCUGGACUCACCGGGGGAAUACCUUUAUCAUUUGCUAAUUUUGUGGAGCUGCAAGUCGCGUAUGAUUUCCAUAUAUUGAAUUCGAAUUUUUAAGCUUUAUCAUUUGCUAAUCUUUACUCUCUUUUUUUUUUAUUUCCCUCCCUUAAUGCAGCUGGAUUACGGACCUGGAAGUUACCGGUCGAAUACCAGACUUUAUAGGAAAAUGGACCAAACUUACUUCCUUGUAAGAAGAUUUCAUUUUUCUAUAUAAUGGACUUGUUCCAUAUUAUUGCUCUUGUCAUUACUUCUAUUUUCUAGUAUAUAUAUAUGACAGUUAUAUGUGGGAUUCAACGAUUGCUACAUGUUUUAUUAUUGCAAGGAGAAUUCUCGGAACUGGUCUGAGUGGUCCGAUACCUUCAUCAUUUUCCAACUUAACUUCUUUGACAGAACUGUAUGUGUUUUGUAUUGGUCUCAGAAUCUUGCAUUCUUGACUUUUUUUCCUUUUUAAUUGUUUCUGUUUAUUUUUCCCUCUCCACAUACUGUAUAAUCCUAUUCUAAAUGUAGGGGGCUUGGUGAUAUAUCCAAUGUAAGCUCUUCACUUGAAUUCAUCAAAGACAUGAAAUCUUUAAGUACAUUGUAAGGCAACUUCUACCUCCAACUGCAUCCCUCCAUCUCCUCCGUGUAUUUGUUAACAUUAAUUGAUGAUAUAUGUCGCAGAGUAUUGAGGAACAUCAAUCUCACUGGGGCAAUACCGUCUAAUAUUGGAGAGUACUCAAGUCUUCAACAAGUGUAAGUGCAUAUGUCACUAUGUGUGUUUCUCCAAAUGCUCAAGGCACCGAGAGAGAAUACGAAAUGAUCUGUUUUUUUCCUCAUUCAUUAGUUAUUGCUAAAGAGUUUGAUGGUGUCUGUUUUCCAAGUGAUUUAAGCUUCAACAAACUACAAGGACCAGUUCCGGCUUCACUAUUCAACUUACCUAGCCUUACUCACUUGUAAGUAUUCUACUUUAUUUGUGUCUUUAUGUACACCUACAUAAUGAUAGUUGUGAGACAAAUCCUACUUUGUUGAUAUAUAUAUGUAUAUAUAUAUCAUUUUAGGCUUCUGGGAAACAACACGUUCAAUGGUUCCUUGCCCACUCAAAAGAGGCAGUCUUUGAGCAAUAUGUGGGUAACAAAAUCCUUUAUACUUCUUUUGAAGGGCUUGUUAACAGAAGCUCCUGAUAUGUAAUUAGGAAACUGUUUUGGAAAUAACAUAUUCUUUUGUAAUUAACAGAGAUAUGUCGUACAAUGAUUUGUCUGGAAGUCUUCCUCCAUGGGUGAGAUUACCAAACUUGAAACUGUAAGUACACAAUACAUUUGUCUGGAAUUUUUUUCUUAUGUCGUAUAUUCUUAGGUUUCAGUUCAUAUAUCUCUUUCACUAGAAAAUAGUUCUUAUUAUGAUCAUAGUAAACAAAACUGUAUGUUAUUUGUGCAGCAACCUAGUUGCUAACAACUUCACAUUGGAAGGUCUUGACAAAAGGUUUGGAUAUUCAUAUUCUCAAAUAAGUUCUUGUUCGCUGCUAACAACUUUCACAUUGGAAGGACUUCUCAUCAAAUUUCUUCUUUUUUUAUUUUGGCUAAAAGGGUUUUAUCAGGACUGGACUGCCUACAGAAGAACUUCCCCUGCAAUCGAGGCAAAGGAAUAUGUAAGUGUAACAAAGAGAUAUAUCUUCCUCCUCAUAACCAUAUACUGUACGUAUAUAUGUAGUCUUGGAAAAUAAACUUAAAAGAUACAUUUUUUCUCUAUUGAUUGGUGUCUAGAUUAUAACUUUUCGAUCAAUUGUGGAGGGCCAGAGAUAAGAUCUGCUGGCGGAGCUGUAUAUGAGAAAGAGAACGAGGAUCUUGGACCGGCUUCGUUUGUUGUGAGCGCUGCUCAGAGAUGGGCAGCCAGUAAUGUAGGAGUUUUCGCUGGAAGUAGCAAUAAUAUAUACAUAUCUACUUCACAAUCACAGUUCAUCAACACUUUGGACUCAGAGCUUUUUCAGUCAGCAAGACUCUCUGCAUCUUCCCUAAGGUACUAUGGGCUGGGGCUAGAAAAUGGAGGCUAUACCGUAACACUUGAGUUUGCUGAAAUCCAAAUUCUUGGAUCUAACACUUGGAGAAGUCUAGGAAAACGACGUUUCGACAUUUAUGUCCAGGUCUCUGCACUACUUUACUUGAUCGAGCUUUCUGCUUCACAAGUAUUAACUUUUUGAAGUGAUCUUGUUCCUGAAUGUUUUUUCCAGGGAAGACUUGUUGAAAAGGAUUUUGAUAUACGCAGAAGAGCUGGUGACUCUACUUUUCGAGCAGUUCAGAGAGAAUAUAAAGCAAAUGUAUCAGAGAAUUACCUCGAAAUUCAUCUUUUCUGGGCUGGAAAAGGAACAUGUUGUAUUCCUAUCCAAGGGGCUUAUGGGCCAUUGAUAUCGGCCGUUAGUGCAAAACCAGG